This 671-nucleotide ribosomal RNA is filed under the name Lichtheimia corymbifera. RNAcentral's name for it is "eukaryotic LSU rRNA". It matches the Rfam family "Eukaryotic large subunit ribosomal RNA", at positions 66 to 639 of the family's 3401-position model. Lineage: Eukaryota; Fungi; Mucoromycota; Mucoromycetes; Mucorales; Lichtheimiaceae. The record is from RNAcentral.
UAACCAUGAUUCCCCUAGUAACGGCGAGUGAAGAGGGAAAAGCUCAAAGUUGGAACCUGGCUGCCCUAGGCAGUCCGGAUUGUAAACUAAAGAGCGUGAUUCCAGGCAAGCCGGUUGACCAAGUCCUUUGGAAUGAGGCGCCACUGAGGGUGAGAGCCCCGUAAGUCGACUGAGCAUUUGUCUUUUGUGUUUCGCGUUCAAAGAGUCAGGUUGUUUGGGAAUGCAGCCUAAAGCUGGUGGUAAAUCCCACCUAAAGCUAAAUACAGGCGAGAGACCGAUAGCGAACAAGUACCGUGAGGGAAAGAUGAAAAGAACUUUGAAAAGAGAGUUAAACAGUAUGUGAAAUUGCCAAGAGGGAAGCAUUUGGAGUUAGAUUGACUAGGAGUUAAUCAGCUUGGUCUUUGGACUGGGUGUACUUGACUUCUUACAGUCUGCCAAUAGCAGUUAGUCCUAGUGGAAAAAACCAGAGGGAAGGUAGUCCUUCGGGAUGUUUAUAGACCUUUGGAAAAUACACUGGGAUUGACUGAGGAAUGCAGUAGAUGCCACUAAGGCUUCGUCUAGUGGGUGCUAGGCAAAGGUACUUGGUAUUUUCAGCUUGCUGAUGUGCUAGGUUACUCGAGUCUAGUCGCCUACUAGAACUGUAAUCUACUUUGGUUAUUGGCUUAAUGACU